GACGAACGCUGGCGGCGUGCUUAACACAUGCAAGUCGAACGGAAAGGCCCUGCUUUUGUGGGGUGCUCGAGUGGCGAACGGGUGAGUAACACGUGAGUAACCUGCCCUUGACUUUGGGAUAACUUCAGGAAACUGGGGCUAAUACCGGAUAGGAGCUCCUGCUGCAUGGUGGGGGUUGGAAAGUUUCGGCGGUUGGGGUUGGACUCGCGGGUUAUCUGCUUGUUGGUGGGGUAGUGGCUUACCAAGGCUUUGACGGGUAGCCGGCCUGAGAGGGUGACCAGCCACAAUGGGACUGAGAUACGGCCCAGACUCAUACGGGAGGCAGCAGUGGGGAAUAUUGCAGAAUGGGCGGAAGCGUGAUGCAGAAACCCCGCGUGCGGGAUGACGGCCUUCGGGUUGUAAACCGAUUUCGCCUGUGACGAAGCGUGAGUGACGGUAAUGGGUAAAGAAGCACCGGCUAACUACGUG
RNAcentral lists this ribosomal RNA (468 nucleotides) under uncultured bacterium. RNAcentral's name for it is "partial 16S ribosomal RNA". It matches the Rfam family "Bacterial small subunit ribosomal RNA", at positions 28 to 507 of the family's 1533-position model. The record is from RNAcentral.